RNAcentral lists this unclassified non-coding RNA (271 nucleotides) under Glomus sp. RNAcentral's name for it is "partial contains 5.8S ribosomal RNA and internal transcribed spacer 2". The stretch from base 1 to 65 matches the Rfam family "5.8S ribosomal RNA", at positions 84 to 154 of the family's 154-position model. The record is from RNAcentral. Lineage: Eukaryota; Fungi; Glomeromycota; Glomeromycetes; Glomerales; Glomeraceae.
GUGAAUCAUCAAAUUUUUGAACGCAAAUUGCACUCUCUUGGGAGAGAAUGCCUGUUUGAGGGUCAGCCUAAAAAAAAUCGACAUAGUCGCUGUUAUCGUGGUGACAUUCGUCGGAAAUUGGGUCCUCUUAAACUUUUGGGUAUUAAGAGGCUUAAAAUUUUAUUUACGGAUUACACGAACGUUUCUAAGAUUUACUUCUUACACACGUUUAAGGUAUCGAUCUUUAUUAGACGUGGACGUUGCAUCGGAUCUCGUCCAUAAUUAUUUCGUU